GAUGAACGCUGGCGGCGUGCUUAACACAUGCCAGUCGAACGAAGCACUUUAUUUGAUUUCCUUCGGGACUGAUUAUUUUGUGACUGAGUGGCGGACGGGUGAGUAACGCGUGGGUAACCUGCCUUGUACAGGGGGAUAACAGUUGGAAACGGCUGCUAAUACCGCAUAAGCGCACGGCAUCGCAUGAUGCAGUGUGAAAAACUCCGGUGGUAUAAGAUGGACCCGCGUUGGAUUAGCUAGUUGGUGAGGUAACGGCCCACCAAGGCGACGAUCCAUAGCCGACCUGAGAGGGUGACCGGCCACAUUGGGACUGAGACACGGCCCAAACUCCUACGGGAGGCAGCAGUGGGGAAUAUUGCACAAUGGGCGAAAGCCUGAUGCAGCGACGCCGCGUGAGCGAAGAAGUAUUUCGGUAUGUAAAGCUCUAUCAGCAGGGAAGAUAAUGACGGUACCUGACUAAGAAGCACCGGCUAAAUACGUG
This 481-nucleotide ribosomal RNA is filed under the name uncultured bacterium. RNAcentral's name for it is "partial 16S ribosomal RNA". It matches the Rfam family "Bacterial small subunit ribosomal RNA", at positions 28 to 507 of the family's 1533-position model. The record is from RNAcentral.